Molecule: ribosomal RNA, 468 nt
Filed under: uncultured bacterium
Lineage: Bacteria
Description: partial 16S ribosomal RNA
Rfam family: Bacterial small subunit ribosomal RNA
Source: RNAcentral
GACGAACGCUGGCGGCGUGCUUAACACAUGCAAGUCGAACGGAAAGGCCCUGCUUUUGUGGGGUGCUCGAGUGGCGAACGGGUGAGUAACACGUGAGUAACCUGCCCUUGACUUUGGGAUAACUCCAGGAAACUGGGGCUAAUACCGGAUAGGAGCUCCUGCUGCAUGGUGGGGGUUGGAAAGUUUCGGCGGUUGGGGCUGGACUCGCGGCUUAUCAGCUUGUUGGUGUGGUAGUGGCUUACCAAGUCUUUGACGGGUAGCCGGCCUGGGAGGGUGACCGGGCACAUUGGGACUGAGAUACGGACCAGACUCCUACGGGCGGCAGCAGUGGGGAAUAUGGCAGAAUGGGCGGACGCCUGAGGCAGAAACGCCGGGAGCGGGAUGACGGGCUUCGGGUUGUAAACCGCUUUCGCAUGUGACGAAGCGUGAGUGACGGUAAUGGGUAAAGAAGCACCGGCUAACUACGUG